AAUCCUUUUGCAUCACCCGCUCACAGAAAUAAACAUUCUUUGAGGUUUUUCCUGAUGCAGUAACUGACCAUGCCACCACGGCUUUAUUUUGGCCAGAGACGCCUGUGGCAUUUCUGCAAGAGGACAAGCAUCUCGUUCAGACCCCAUUAAAAGAGAGCUCAGUUCUUACAGCAGUUUGACAAGUCUGAUAAAGAGAAAGAAAACCAAAUUACUAGGACUUGAAAUAUAAAGUAGAUGAACCAAUCUAGAGCCCUCAUGCUCUGAUACCUGCCGCAUGUGAAAUCUGAGCAAAGGGAUCUUGGUGGAAGACAGUCUCCUCUGGAGUGUGCACAAGCAGCGCAUGCUCCUUACGAGAUGCUGCAUGAAAGAAGGUGGAUUUUUUUCUGGACAAGGAAUGACUUGAGAGCAGCCCUGAGGAGAAGGAUUUGGGGGUGCUGGUUAAUGAAAGACUGAACAUGAGCUGGCUAUAUGCACUUGCAGCCCAGAAGGCCAACUGUGUGCUGGGUUACAUUAUGAAAAGAAUGAAAGAAAAGCAAGGAAGAUGAUUCUGCCCCUCUACUCUGCUCUUGUGAGACCCACCUGGAGUACUGCAUCCAAUUCUGGGGCCCUCAACACAAGACAGACAUGGAGCUGUUGGAGUGGGUCCAGAGGAGGGCCACAAAGAUGAUCAGAGGGCUGGGACACUUCCCCUACGAAGAGAGGCUGAGAAAGUUGGGACUCUUCAGCCUGCAGAAGAGAAGGUUUGGGAGACCUUACAGCGGCCCUUCCAGUAUCUGAAGGGGGCAUACAGGAAAGCUGGGGAGGGACUUCUUAUAAGGGCAAGUAGAGACAGGAUGGGGGGAAAUGUCUUUAAACUGGAAGAGGGUAGAUUUAGACUAGAUAUUAGGAAGAAGUUAUUUACGGUGAGGGUGGUGAGACACUGAAACAGGUUGACCAGCAAGGCUUUGGUUCCCCCCCUCCCUGGAAGCCUUUGAGGCCAGGCUGGAUGAGGCUUUGAGCAACCUGGUCUAGUGAAAGGUGUCCCUGCCUACAGCAGGGGCUUGGAGCUAGGUGAUCUUAAAGGUCUCUCCCAGUCCAAACCAUUCUAUGAUUCUUUGAUAGUCACUUCAGCAGUUGAAAAAGAAAUUUUUUGGUUUAAGUCCACCAUCUUUCCACCAGGCCUACUGCUAUCCAUGUCAGUAUUUUUUUCCCCACUUAUGAAUGAAUUUCUCCUUUUACAUGUAAAUAAGAGACUGACCUAUACAGAGUAGGUAAAUCAAGAAGCGUAUUAAGAUGUUCCACCUGUCCCAAAAUACUCCGGCAUGCUACACAUGAGCUGAUACUCACUUUCAACUUUAAAGUUGCUGAGACUGGAUAGUGUCCCCCAGAUAUUUUCUAAUAGGAUCCAACGUUUUGCAACAUGCCCAUCUAGAGACCUGAUCUAUCAGGAAAUGAGAUCUGAACACCUAUGUGGCUUUUGUUCAGCACAAGACGGAGCACAAGAGUCAGGAUAUUCUCACUGCCUAAAGCCAGAAAGGAAGCAAGUCGCCUUGUACAACUCCUGGCUGUAUUUUCCAAUUUUCAUUCUUCCCUUCCAUUCAGCUGCCCCAUCAGGUUUGCAUCAGAGCUGGCACGCAUCUGAACUCCCGCCUGGCCCAGCCUUUGUCAUUAUGCCCUUCAAUGCACAAAGUUUGGUGCGUUUUCCACUCUUCAGUAGGAGGUGCAAGGGCUGGAAAAACUGGCAGUAGAGCACAUAUGCUCCUUUUAUCCCAGCACUUUCCCUUGUGACUGCAUUUACUCUCUCACACGGACUCAGGAUGUUAACUAAACUGACAAGGACUAGAUAGCAGAGAGAGGAAGGAAGGAAGGAAAGCAUCUGCAUUUCCAAUCCAGUGACUGCAAAUAAAGUUCCUCAACUUUUAGAAGUCUCUCAAGCACAGCAUACACAGGGUUUGGAGAAGCCAGGGGCUUCUGAUGAAAGUGCUGUGCUGUUAUUUUCAGUGCCACAGCCAGGCUGGGAUUACGUUUUGGUCUUCUGAGAAAAGGAAGCUGGUUGUCACGUCUACUUCUGCUCUUUUUUAAAACUCUCAAAGAAACUUUGCAACAUAAAAUCACUGAGCACCUACAAAGAAAGCUUUACAAAGGGACACCACUUACUGCCUCAAACUCAGUUUCCAUCACCUCCUGCACAAUUCAUCCAUGCUACACAAAGUCCUAAACAGCACACAUCCUAUCUUUCCCAGUGCAAACAGAUACAUUUUUUUUUUAACUGUAAAGCCAGGCUUUUUGUUUAACACAGUGAAAAAUCACACAUAGCAGGAGCCUGCUGUUAGCAUAACUUACGGUAAUGAAUCAGUUAGCAAGGAGACUGGUGAAAAGAUUGAUUCAUGACAUGAAAAGGGUAACUGGAUCCUUUCUUUUGCCUCCUUAAUUUGCCAACAUACCUGCCCUUACCAGCACCUUUUGAAGCUGUUGCCACAGCACUACUCUUCCUUCUUGGGCUUCAGCAGUGGGUUGAACACAUCAUCUCUUUGCAGACUGCUGAAGAGCUGCAUCACAAGUGAGACUGGAGGUUGGUUGGAAGUCCCUUGAAAUCCAAGCACUUGUGCUCAGGAAGAAUUCACUCCACAUUUCUUCCUUCUUGCUGAAGGCUGGAUGUGCAAAUCCAUCUUAUUUUCACUUGACUCACACUGUGAAGACACAUACUGUGAUGUGGGGUGAUAUUAGCUGUAGAAAAGAAAAAGCUUUAAGACCACUGGGCCUCAAAAUGUGUCAAAACACACCAGGCAUGAGAAUCUGCCAUUUCUCUAUGGGAGGAGGCUGAUCUCCCCACAAAGGGCCAAGCAAGCUGUGCUCCAAGGACCUGCUCUCAUCCACUCAUCCAAACCCACACAGGGGAGCACAGCCAGGAAGAGCCACAGGACCUGCCAUCUCCUGUGCUGCCACCCAGCUCUCUUCCCUCUUGGGGGCUCAGAGCCUGAGCCAAGGUAUUGUUGCCUUUGAGGUUCAUUCUUUUAAAAAACUGACUGACGAUCAAUAUGCCAAAGCUGGGCUGUGCUUUGGGGCUCAGGGAUGGACAGCAAGAGUGCUGGAGCUGGCCUAAGGCAUGCACUGCCUGGGACAGUUGCUCCUUACCUGAGGCUGCACAUUUUGUAACUAAAGUUGGAGGAUGAGUUACCAGGGAGGACUUCAGGGAAGGUGACAGGAAGGAGGACAGCUGGUGUAGCUCCUCUAGAGUAAGCCAUGACUGAAAAGAGAACGGAGGCCCUGACCUGGAUACGGUCCUGGACAACCUGUUCUGGCUGGCCUGAGCAGGGAGUGGACCAAGUGGCCUCCAGAGGUCCCUUUACCUCCAGCAGCCCGUGACUUGGCUUGAUGUGUCUGGAGUGGCACUCCCAUGCCCACAGCCAUGCACUUGUAGCCUUGGGUAAUUUCUUUGCACCAGUGCCUCAGUACUUAAAGCAACACUGAUAACACUUCCAGAACUACACCCUAAAUAGUCUUUGGGACAGAAAUAAAAUUUUGAUUAAGUAGGAAAGCCUUUAUAGGUUAAUUAAAUAACAACUGCUAAACCAUAGCCAACCAGUCAUUAUCUGUGUUUUGAUAUGGACUUAUUACAUAACUGUUAAACUUGGUAUUUAGCAGAUAGCUUCCCUAUUUGAAGGACUAAACAUCUAUUUGAGAUAGUUCAUUUUUAAAUGUCACCAUUUCGGUUUACUAGACUUCUUGCUGUGCUUAACACAAACAGUGGGUAUUUAAAGUAAUAACAAAUCAGCUGUCAGCUGGGAGCACUCAGCAGAAGGUAGGGCCUGUCCUGUGACAGCCCUUGCCCUGCUGCUGGGAGAGUCCCAGGGAGGGUCAUGACGCCUCCAGGCCACCCCUCAACUAGCUCUGGACCUUAGGGGCUGAUGGGGAGAAGUAUCAGCACGCCUUCUGAAAAGUGGCUUCUCAGCUCCAGAAGCACCAGCCUGGUUCUCCCAAAUAGUCUUUUACCGCUUCCUGGCAGCAUUCUAUGAAGGGUGACAUGGAGUAGGAUCCCCUGACCAACCGGUGCCAGGCUGUGGCAGGUGCAGGGCCACUACCUCGCUGCUGCACCCAGAGCUCCUGUGGGCCAUGAACUCCAGCUGCCAUGGGAUGAAAUACUUGCAUGCACCGAACCAAAGACCAUCCCCAACUGCUUUUCAAGCAGGCAUUUUUCUUCAGAGUCUACAUGGAUGGAGAUAGCUUUGCCACCACUCAGUUUCUGCUGUCAUAAUUCUCCUGCUAACAGAUAAGAAAUGGUGAAAUGACAUCCUGCCCAAAGAGUCUGAAUGUCUGUACCCACCUGGGGCACGGUCCUGGUACCAAGGCACUACACCCAUAGAGCCUUAUGGUCACAUUAUUUCUUCCUACAUUCAAUUUUUUUGUAAAAGUGCUGUUAUAUUUUUCAGAAGGCUCUUGCAGCUGUUAUCACAUUGGCAAGCAAUGGCUGGGGCCUUCAGCCAUCUCUGGCAACAAAGAGGUUAAGCAUCAGCAAGCCUAGAAGGCUGGCUUUUGAGGGGUGGGUUUAGGAAGCAAAGUUAACAAUAUAAGAAGAGGAAGUGCUGGCCAUCCGUUUGUUUGUUUAUUGUUUCAGCAGUUUGUGCUGUGUGUCUCGUGUGCUAUCUCCAUCCCUCAGUCUCCCAGCCAGUUCAUUAUGCACGGGAAGAGGUGCUUCCUGCCAGCGACCUCCUGGGUCCCCUCCCAUUGUUCGCAGGGCUGAUGUAAAGUGCUGGGGGCGGCAGAAAGGGCUGCAAGCCUGCAAGAAAUACUCCAGAGACCUUCUUCAGUUAAUAAAACAGAUGGCCUUAUUGGCGUAGGCAAAUUUCAACGCUAGCAUUGCAUUUAAUAGGGUUCAUCCAAAGAAAAUCCCAAGAAAAAUAAAGUGAGGAGUUUAGGUUGUCAGAGCCAGAGGGAUAAAUACAGGAGAGACAAGAGGAUGAACCAUACCUCUGGCAUACCCAGCAGCUCUGCCGUGCCUCUGCAGCCUUCAGGGACUAAGGUUGCUCAACGCCUCCUUCUCUGCUAGGACCUAUUAGUCAGAAGCAGAGGUGCUCCCUGCCUCCAACAGCUAAGCUCUGAUGGCCUAAAUGUCACCCCAGUCUCUGUGCAUAGCAAGGUCUUUAAGUUCCCUAAAUUAGGGCACCUGGGUCCUCCUUGAAGGCCCAGCGCUCUCCCUUCACCUGGUAGAGGAGCAAACAAGCAAGAGACUCUAAGCCCCUAAGACCAUCAAAACUUUGUUUUCUGAAGCCCCAGUGCCCUAUGCACCCCCAAAGUUCCUUCCCUAUGUUUCUGUAGUGAUCAGGCUAUAACACCUUGCAGAAGGAGUGUGCUUCUCAGAUGCUAGGAGAACACUUUUUUUUUUUUUUUUUUUUUUUUGAAAGAACACUUUGUACAAUCCCUGAGCUGGGCCUGAAGCAACACUAACAAUAACAAACAGCAAUGAGCUGGAGCUGCAGAGCUGGGAUCCAGAUGUGUACCUGAACUUCCCUAAAAUUUAAGGGUCUUUAAGUCUGGCAUGGGUUAAUCUCCAUAAAAAACGUGAAGAUGAAGGGGAAGAAAAGGGAAAAAUGCAAGCAGAAUACAGUUAACAAGACACAUGGGAGGAUGUCGCCUUCUCUGUGUGCUUGGUAACUGCAGCCUCUUGAAGGUGUGUCCCCAGAUUCUGCACAGCCAGGAGCUGUCAUUAGCCAGAAAUAAAAGGAUUUCUGCUCACUGACACUGGUGAAAGUAAAGCAAUCUGUUUUGAAAAACAGCUUUAAAGCACACAUUGCCACUUUUGAUUAUAAAAAUCCUAGAGGAAUGUGGGCUUUGCUUUAAAUCAUGUACUUUUUUUUUUUUUCACUUUCUCACUGUAUGUUUACUUUUACGCAGGUACUUUUCUAGUACACGCCUUUAGAAACGUCCAUGAAAACUGUGCCCCAUUUUUCCACUUUCAUUGCUUCUAAAGGUCAAAAGUCUCUCAUCUGAGGCUUUGGAGGAAAAGAAACCUCUCAGUUCCUGGGCUUUCUCUCUGGAGGGAGUCGUCAUUUCCAGGGAAGGGCCGGUGCCUCCCCUCUGGGACAGGAAGCGGCCACAGGAGCACUGUCAUCACUGAAAGUUUUCUUUCAUGCGGAAAUAUUAUUUACACAUGCCACGUCCAAAAGACAACAGUGGCAAGGAGGACUGGCAAGCAACUCUGCUUUAAA
This 6185-nucleotide long non-coding RNA is filed under the name Gallus gallus (chicken). Its description in RNAcentral is "lncRNA (ENSGALG00010006960.1)". The record is from RNAcentral. Lineage: Eukaryota; Metazoa; Chordata; Aves; Galliformes; Phasianidae.